UACGUAGGGUGCAAGCGUUGUCCGGAAUUAUUGGGCGUAAAGAGCUCGUAGGCGGUUUGUCGCGUCUGCUGUGAAAACCCGAGGCUCAACCUCGGGCCUGCAGUGGGUACGGACAGACUAGAGUGCGGUAGGGGAGAUUGGAAUUCCUGGUGUAGCGGUGGAAUGCGCAGAUAUCAGGAGGAACACCAAUGGCGAAGGCAGAUCUCUGGGCCGUAACUGACGCUGAGGAGCGAAAGCAUGGGGAGCGAACAGG
This 253-nucleotide ribosomal RNA is filed under the name uncultured bacterium. Its description in RNAcentral is "partial 16S ribosomal RNA". It matches the Rfam family "Bacterial small subunit ribosomal RNA", at positions 524 to 776 of the family's 1533-position model. The record is from RNAcentral.